This 165-nucleotide ribosomal RNA is filed under the name uncultured bacterium. RNAcentral's name for it is "partial 16S ribosomal RNA". It matches the Rfam family "Bacterial small subunit ribosomal RNA", at positions 355 to 511 of the family's 1533-position model. The record is from RNAcentral.
UAGGGAAUCUUCAGCAAUGGACGAAAGUCUGACCGAGCAACGCCGCGUGAGUGAAGAAGGUUUUCGGAUCGUAAAACUCUGUUGGUAGAGAAGAACGUUGGUGAGAGUGGAAAGCUCAUCAAGUGACGGUAACUACCCAGAAAGGGACGGCUAACUACGUGCCAG